This 1657-nucleotide unclassified non-coding RNA is filed under the name Caenorhabditis elegans. Its description in RNAcentral is "Non-coding transcript of protein-coding gene C06A6.4c". The record is from RNAcentral. Lineage: Eukaryota; Metazoa; Nematoda; Chromadorea; Rhabditida; Rhabditidae.
AUGAGUGAAGAUAUUGGAGUGACACGGUUCCGUGAGUAUCUUCGUGUCAAUACUGAACAGCCAAAACCAGAUUACGAGGCUUGCCGGGAUUUCCUUUUCAAGUAUGCCGACGAGUUGGGAAUCGAAAGACGAUCUGUAGAGACUGCUCCAGGAACAUACUUCGUUAUUAUGACAAUCCCUGGCUCCAAACCUGAUCUUCCAUCAAUUAUGCUCUAUUCUCAUACUGAUGUCGUUCCAACUUUCCGAGAAUAUUGGACUCAUGAUCCAUAUUCCGCUUUCAAAGAUGAAGAUGGAAACAUUUUUGCUCGCGGAGCACAAGAUAUGAAAUGUGUUGGAGUACAAUAUAUGGAGGCUUUAAGAAAUUGGUUCGCAAAAGGAGUUAAACAAUGGACUCGUACAAUUCACAUUGUUUGGGGACCAGAUGAGGAAAUUGGUCAUAUCAAUGGAAUGAAAGGAUUUGCAGUUACUGAAGAAUUCAAGAAAUUGAAUAUUGAUUUUGCUCUUGAUGAGGGAAUUGCCACUGAAGAUGAUGUCUACAAGAUAUUUUAUGCAGAGAGAAUCCCUUGGUGGGUAAAAGUCACACUUCCUGGACAUCCUGGACAUGGUUCUAAAUUCAUUGAAAAGACUGCCAUUGAGAAAUUGCACAAGUUAAUCGCCAGCGUUGACGAGUUCCGAAAUGAGCAAAAGUCUCUUCUAGCGGAGCAUCCAGAAUGGACAGUUGGAGAUGUGACUACUUCAAAUAUCACGAUUAUUAACGGAGGAGUACAAGUAAAUGUGGUGCCGGAAAAGUUCGAAGCUUACAUUGAUAUUCGCGUAACUCCACUCCAAGAUCUGGAUGCUGUUCUAGCACGUGUAGAUCAAUGGGCUAAAGAAGCUGGAGAAGGUGUUACCUAUGAAUUCAUGCAGGUACUUUCAUUCAAUUCUCACCUCACUAACUCACCUAACAAGUCUCCCCGUGUUCAUUUAAUCUGCUCACCUUAUAAAAUCGCUUCUUGUCCAACGUCUUUUUCAGUCAACUAAUCCAGCGGACAAGUCGACAAUCGAUUUCGAAACGGUAAGAUUUUGAUGGAAAAUCGAUUAAUUUAUUAGAUUAUGAAGGUUAAAUGAGAAUUUGUAAAGUUGAGCACAACAUUUUUUACCCGGAAAAAUCUUUAUGUGUUUUGUAAGUCAAAAUUGCUUCUAAAAUUGAUCCCUUCGUUUGCUCUCCGUUUAAAUUCCUGAAAAAUUCAUAAUUUCAAAAUUAGGCGCACUUUCACUUUUUUGUAUCACUACAUUUCCGUUACUCUCUGUAAACACCUUGGGUUAGCACAUGGUUUUACUUUUAGGUAAGCUUACAUUAAUUUAAAAAUAUAAAUCAUACUCUUUUCAGUUCUCCAAUUUCAAAUUGAUUUCUCCAAACACCCGGGAGGAUCCAUUUUGGGCAGCAAUUGAUGAUGCACUUCAAAAAGAAGGUUGCAAAUACAAGAAGGAGAUCUUCAUCGGAGCCACUGAUUCACGAUUUGUCAGAGCGCAAGGAAUCCGCGCCAUUGGCUUCUCCCCAAUCAUCAAUACUCCAUCGCUUCUGCACGAUCACAACGAAUUUUUGAAUGAGAAAACAUUCUUGAGAGGUGUUGAAAUCUACGAGACACUGAUCAACAAACUGGCCAAUGUUAACUAA